This 1041-nucleotide long non-coding RNA is filed under the name Equus caballus (horse). RNAcentral's name for it is "lncRNA (ENSECAG00000059751.1)". Lineage: Eukaryota; Metazoa; Chordata; Mammalia; Perissodactyla; Equidae. The record is from RNAcentral.
ACAUUAUUAUUUGUCAGUCACCAUAUAAAUGUGCCCCUUCACCCCUUGUACCCAUUUCCCAACCCCCUUCCCCUGUGAUAACCACUAAACUGUUGUCUUUGUCCGUGAGUUUCUCCAACAUAUGAGUGAAAUCAUACGGUAUUUGUCUUUCUCUGUCUAGCUUAUUUUGCUUAACAUAAUACCCUCCAGGUCUAUCCAUGUUGUUGUGAAUGGGACGAUUUUGUCUUUUUUCUGGCUGAGUAGUAUUCCAUUGUAUAUAUAUACCACACCUUCUUUAUCCAGUCAUCGGUCGAUGGGCACGUGGGUUGCUUCCACUUCUUGGCUAUUGUGAAUAAUGCUGCAAUGUAACUCCCUUUGAAUUGUUGAUCUCAAAUUCUUUGGAUAAAUAACCAGUAGUGGGAUAGCUGGGUCAUAUGGUAGUUCUAUUUUUAAUAUUUAGAGAAAUCUCCAUACUGUUUUCCAUAGUGGCUGCACCAGUUUGCAUUCCCACCAGCAGUGGAUGAUGGUUCCCUUUUCUCCACAUCCUCUCCAACAUUUGUUAUUUUUUUGUCUUGGUGUUUAUAGCUAUUCUAAUGGGUGUAAGGUGAUAUCUCAGUGUAGUUUUAAUUACAUUUCCCUGAUGAUUAGUGAUGCUGAACAUCUUUUCAUGUGUCUACUGGCCAUCUGUAUAUUUUCUUUGGAAAAAUGUCCGUUUAGCUCCUCUGCUCAUUUAUUGAUCAGGUUGAUUGAUUUUUUGUUGUUGAGUUGUGUGAGUUCUUUAUAUAUUUUGGAGAUUAACCCCUUGUCGGAUAUAUGAUUUGUAAAUAUUUUCUCCCAGUUGGUGGAUGGUCUUUUCACUUUGUUCCUUGUUUCCUUUGCCUUGCAGAAGCUCUUUAGUCUGAUGAAGUCCCACUUGUUUAUGCAAAAAGGAUUUUUGUGCCAUCUUCUCAAAGAGCUAUUUUGAGGUUUACAUGAGAUAAUGUAUGCAAAGAACUUCACAAGCGUGGCUUGCCAAGCGGUGCCAUGUCCGCACCUGGGAUCUGAACCGUGAACCCUGGGCCG